This 497-nucleotide ribosomal RNA is filed under the name uncultured bacterium. RNAcentral describes it as "partial 16S ribosomal RNA". It matches the Rfam family "Bacterial small subunit ribosomal RNA", at positions 28 to 507 of the family's 1533-position model. The record is from RNAcentral.
GAUGAACGCUGGCGGCGUGCCUAAUACAUGCAAGUCGAGCGAACAGAUAAGGAGCUUGCUCCUUUGACGUUAGCGGCGGACGGGUGAGUAACACGUGGGUAACCUACCUAUAAGACUGGGAUAACUUCGGGAAACCGGAGCUAAUACCGGAUAAUAUUUCGAACCGCAUGGUUCGAUAGUGAAAGAUGGUUUUGCUAUCACUUAUAGAUGGACCCGCGCCGUAUUAGCUAGUUGGUAAGGUAACGGCUUACCAAGGCGACGAUACGUAGCCGACCUGAGAGGGUGAUCGGCCACACUGGAACUGAGACACGGUCCAGACUCCUACGGGAGGCAGCAGUAGGGAAUCUUCCGCAAUGGGCGAAAGCCUGACGGAGCAACGCCGCGUGAGUGAUGAAGGUCUUCGGAUCGUAAAACUCUGUUAUUAGGGAAGAACAUACGUGUAAGCAACUGUGCACGUCUUGACGGUACCUAAUCAGAAAGCCACGGCUAACUACGUG